RNAcentral lists this ribosomal RNA (497 nucleotides) under uncultured bacterium. RNAcentral describes it as "partial 16S ribosomal RNA". It matches the Rfam family "Bacterial small subunit ribosomal RNA", at positions 28 to 507 of the family's 1533-position model. The record is from RNAcentral.
GAUGAACGCUGGCGGCGUGCCUAAUACAUGCCAGUCGAGCGAACGGACGAGAAGCUUGCUUCUCUGAUGUUAGCGGCGGACGGGUGAGUAACACGUGGAUAACCUACCUAUAAGACUGGGAUAACUUCGGGAAACCGGAGCUAAUACCGGAUGAUAUUUUGAACCGCAUGGUUCAAAAGUGAAAGACGGUCUUGCUGUCACUUAUAGAUGGAUCCGCGCUGCAUUAGCUAGUUGGUAAGGUAACGGCUUACCAAGGCAACGAUGCAUAGCCGACCUGAGAGGGUGAUCGGCCACACUGGAACUGAGACACGGUCCAGACUCCUACGGGAGGCAGCAGUAGGGAAUCUUCCGCAAUGGGCGAAAGCCUGACGGAGCAACGCCGCGUGAGUGAUGAAGGUCUUCGGAUCGUAAAACUCUGUUAUUAGGGAAGAACAUAUGUGUAAGUAACUGUGCACAUCUUGACGGUACCUAAUCAGAAAGCCACGACUAACUACGUG